This 523-nucleotide long non-coding RNA is filed under the name Olea europaea subsp. europaea. Lineage: Eukaryota; Viridiplantae; Streptophyta; Magnoliopsida; Lamiales; Oleaceae. The record is from RNAcentral.
CUCUACCCUAAUCAUUCAAACACUAAUUAUUUUCACUCUCAUCUUCCGCUACCUUCUGUCUUUCUACACCUUUUUGUAUAGAAGUCUUUCUAUACCUUUUUCUCUACCCUACCCUCAGAAAUGGACUUGCCAUCCUCUUCAUUGUGAGCGUCUCACCACCUAACAGAAGACGGUAGCGCUUACAGCACAAUGCUAUGCAGAGAGGUCGCGCGCAGCUGCGGUAAUGUGGAGAGGUUGCAUUGUGCAGAGAAGAGGCCGAGUUCGUGUAGAUCCGUGUACGGCAACACUGCCUCCAUGUUUUUGUGGUGGUUCUGUGUUGUGCAGUGGUGCAAGUGGUGGUGAUUCUGUGUUGUACGGUGUGGUGGUGGUUUUGCGGUUGUUGGUCAGGUGCUCGGUUGGUGAGGAUUAUAAUGUACUUUAAAUGCUACAGGUCAGAAGGGUGCUAUUAGGCUAUGUUGGUAGUGUAGGUCGUAAGUGGGCGUGGUGGUGGUUGUGGGAUGACCAACUAUUUGGUUAAUUCGGG